This 440-nucleotide ribosomal RNA is filed under the name uncultured bacterium. RNAcentral's name for it is "partial 16S ribosomal RNA". It matches the Rfam family "Bacterial small subunit ribosomal RNA", at positions 338 to 795 of the family's 1533-position model. The record is from RNAcentral.
CCUACGGGGGGCAGCAGUGGGGGAUAUUGCACAAUGGGGGAAACCCUGAUGCAGCGACGCCGCGGGUGGGAAGACGGUCUUCUGGAUUGUAAACCACUGUCCCCAGGGACGAAAAUGACGGUACCUGGGGAGGAAGCUCCGGCUAACUACGUGCCAGCAGCCGCGGUAAUACGUAGGGAGCAAGCGUUGUCCGGAAUUACUGGGUGUACAGGGAGCGUAGGCGGGGAUGCAAGUUGGGUGUCAAAACUACCGGAUCAACCGAUAGUCGCACUCAAAACUGCAGCUCUUGAGUGAAGUAGAGGCAGGCGGAAUUCCUGGUGUAGCGGUGAAAUGCGGAGAUAUUAGGAGGAACACCAGUGGCGAAGGCGGCCUGCUGGGCUUUUACUGACGCUGAGGCUCGAAUGUGUGGGGAGCAAACAGGAUUAGAUACCCCAGUAGUC